CUACGGGUCGCUCCAGUGAGGAAUAUUGCACAAUGGGGGGAACUCUGAUGCAGCAACGCCGCGUGGAGGAUGACGCAUUUCGGUGUGUAAACUCCUUUUAUAUGUCAAGAAAAUGACGGUAGCAUAUGAAUAAGCACCGGCUAACUCCGUGCCAGCAGCCGCGGUAAUACGGAGGGUGCAAGCGUUACUCGGAAUCACUGGGCGUAAAGGAAGCGUAGGCGGGUUGGAAAGUCAGGUGUGAAAUCCUACAGCUUAACUGUAGAACUGCACUUGAAACUUCUAAUCUAGAGUAUGGGAGGGGGAGAUGGAAUUAGUGGUGUAGGGGUAAAAUCCGUAGAUAUCACUAGGAAUACCUAAAGCGAAGGCGAUCUCCUGGAACAUUACUGACGCUAAGGCGUGAAAGCGUGGGGAGCAAACAGGAUUAGAUACCCCCGUAGUC
This 439-nucleotide ribosomal RNA is filed under the name uncultured bacterium. RNAcentral describes it as "partial 16S ribosomal RNA". It matches the Rfam family "Bacterial small subunit ribosomal RNA", at positions 339 to 795 of the family's 1533-position model. The record is from RNAcentral.